AGGGGCAUGAUGUAAUGGUAACAUAGCGGUCUCCAAAACCGUUCUUGAGGGUUCGAAUCCUUCUGCCCCUGCCA
Molecule: transfer RNA, 74 nt
Filed under: Firmicutes bacterium ADurb.Bin248
Lineage: Bacteria; Bacillati; Bacillota
Also listed under: 3 other names
Description: tRNA-Trp
Rfam family: tRNA
About the family: Transfer RNA (tRNA) molecules are approximately 80 nucleotides in length.
Source: RNAcentral